GUAUAUAAAUAAAACACGGCAUAUAGAGUUCGUUGAUUAUCGUAGUU
This 47-nucleotide non-coding RNA is filed under the name Trypanosoma lewisi. Lineage: Eukaryota; Euglenozoa; Kinetoplastea; Trypanosomatida; Trypanosomatidae. The record is from RNAcentral.